This 732-nucleotide ribosomal RNA is filed under the name Bifidobacterium sp. HGH0126. RNAcentral's name for it is "bacterial SSU rRNA". It matches the Rfam family "Bacterial small subunit ribosomal RNA", at positions 60 to 801 of the family's 1533-position model. The record is from RNAcentral. Lineage: Bacteria; Bacillati; Actinomycetota; Actinomycetes; Bifidobacteriales; Bifidobacteriaceae.
AGUCGAACGGGAUCCAUCAAGCUUGCUUGGUGGUGAGAGUGGCGAACGGGUGAGUAAUGCGUGACCGACCUGCCCCAUGCUCCGGAAUAGCUCCUGGAAACGGGUGGUAAUGCCGGAUGUUCCACAUGAUCGCAUGUGAUUGUGGGAAAGAUUCUAUCGGCGUGGGAUGGGGUCGCGUCCUAUCAGCUUGUUGGUGAGGUAACGGCUCACCAAGGCUUCGACGGGUAGCCGGCCUGAGAGGGCGACCGGCCACAUUGGGACUGAGAUACGGCCCAGACUCCUACGGGAGGCAGCAGUGGGGAAUAUUGCACAAUGGGCGCAAGCCUGAUGCAGCGACGCCGCGUGAGGGAUGGAGGCCUUCGGGUUGUAAACCUCUUUUGUUUGGGAGCAAGCCUUCGGGUGAGUGUACCUUUCGAAUAAGCGCCGGCUAACUACGUGCCAGCAGCCGCGGUAAUACGUAGGGCGCAAGCGUUAUCCGGAUUUAUUGGGCGUAAAGGGCUCGUAGGCGGCUCGUCGCGUCCGGUGUGAAAGUCCAUCGCUUAACGGUGGAUCUGCGCCGGGUACGGGCGGGCUGGAGUGCGGUAGGGGAGACUGGAAUUCCCGGUGUAACGGUGGAAUGUGUAGAUAUCGGGAAGAACACCGAUGGCGAAGGCAGGUCUCUGGGCCGUCACUGACGCUGAGGAGCGAAAGCGUGGGGAGCGAACAGGAUUAGAUACCCUGGUAGUCCACGCC